GAAGCCCGUUUCAGAGCUGUGUUUUGAAGCUGAACUUGCUGCAGACGGAGCCAAGCCAGUUUCCACCCCCUGAAAGCAGACAGGCUCCUGUCCUGUCCUCGGGGACCUGAGACCCGCCAUUACCUGCUAAAUGGAAAAGCGUCUGCGACUGCGGCGCCCUCCUGGUUGUUGGAAGGAGGCCUGUUGGGAGGACUCUCCAGGGCAAGGGCUCCAGUUUGGGGUGAUCUCCAGGAUGUACCCCACAGGAUGUGGUGGUCUUGGUGACCCAAGGCUUUGAAGUAGAUUCUCGCCCCUGCGGACCACCUGCUCGGACUCAGGAUGCGACGUCUGAGUUGCUGGGCUGGUUGCCGCCUUAGCUUCCACGACUGGCUUGCUUGCAUGACACCAAGGAAAGUCCCCGAGCUGUGAUUUUCGUCCUUGAUUCCCAAGACCCAGCCCAGGAAGUCGCUGGUCUCCCCCGGAGCUCCAGUCUCUGGGGUGGGUGACGGCACCCGGCCAGGAAACAAAGCGUCUUUGAUCUGAACUUGGACUUAGAGUGUUUCUGAAGCAGGUCCCUAACACUGGCCACCACUCGGGUGUUCCUGGGCCCCUCGGGGGGGCUACGACCCACCGGGACAGGAACAUGUGAGCGCACCUGGAAAGCGGUCCGGCCAGUCCCGUGGUUGAACUUGAACGUGGGGCUGGACCUGUGGUCACUCUUCUCAGGACGCGAUCGAGUUCUUCAAAUAAACACUGUGAAUCUUCUCUUCGA
Marmota flaviventris (yellow-bellied marmot) is the source of this 751-nucleotide long non-coding RNA. RefSeq lists it as uncharacterized. The record is from RefSeq and is a predicted model, not a curated record. Lineage: Eukaryota; Metazoa; Chordata; Mammalia; Rodentia; Sciuridae.